RNAcentral lists this ribosomal RNA (243 nucleotides) under uncultured Staphylococcus sp. RNAcentral's name for it is "partial 16S ribosomal RNA". It matches the Rfam family "Bacterial small subunit ribosomal RNA", at positions 96 to 334 of the family's 1533-position model. The record is from RNAcentral. Lineage: Bacteria; Bacillati; Bacillota; Bacilli; Caryophanales; Staphylococcaceae.
CGGCGGACGGGUGAGUAACACGUGGAUAACCUACCUAUAAGACUGGGAUAACUUCGGGAAACCGGAGCUAAUACCGGAUAAUAUAUUGAACCGCAUGGUUCAAUAGUGAAAGACGGUUUUGCUGUCACUUAUAGAUGGAUCCGCGUCGCAUUAGCUAGUUGGUAAGGUAACGGCUUACCAGGCAACGAUGCGUAGCCGACCUGAGAGGGUGAUCGGCCACACUGGAACUGAGACACGGUCCAG